This 253-nucleotide ribosomal RNA is filed under the name uncultured bacterium. RNAcentral's name for it is "partial 16S ribosomal RNA". It matches the Rfam family "Bacterial small subunit ribosomal RNA", at positions 524 to 776 of the family's 1533-position model. The record is from RNAcentral.
UACGUAGGGUGCAAGCGUUGUCCGGAAUUAUUGGGCGUAAAGAGCUCGUAGGCGGUCUGUCGCGUCUGCUGUGAAAACUCAGGGCUUAACCCUGAGCUUGCAGUGGGUACGGGCAGACUAGAGUGCGGUAGGGGAGACUGGAAUUCCUGGUGUAGCGGUGAAAUGCGCAGAUAUCAGGAGGAACACCAGUGGCGAAGGCGGGUCUCUGGGCCGUAACUGACGCUGAGGAGCGAAAGCAUGGGGAGCGAACAGG